CGAAAGCCUGACGGAGCAACGCCGCGUGAGGGAAGAAUGCCUGUGGGUUGUAAACCUCUUUUCUCAGGGAAGAAGAACUGACGGUACCUGAGGAAUCAGCAUCGGCUAACUCCGUGCCAGCAGCCGCGGUAAGACGGAGGAUGCAAGCGUUAUCCGGAAUGAUUGGGCGUAAAGCGUCCGCAGGUGGCUGUGUAAGUCUGCUGUUAAAGAGUGAGGCUCAACCUCAUAAAAGCAGUGGAAACUACACAGGUAGAGUGCGUUCGGGGCAGAGGGAAUUCCUGGUGUAGCGGUGAAAUGCGUAGAGAUCAGGAAGAACACCGGUGGCGAAGGCGCUCUGCUAGGCCGCAACUGACACUGAGGGACGAAAGCUAGGGGAGCG
Molecule: ribosomal RNA, 379 nt
Filed under: uncultured Hassallia sp.
Lineage: Bacteria; Bacillati; Cyanobacteriota; Cyanophyceae; Nostocales; Tolypothrichaceae
Description: bacterial SSU rRNA
Rfam family: Bacterial small subunit ribosomal RNA
Source: RNAcentral